GUGACCAAAGGUUUAACGGCCGCGGUAUUUUGACCGUGCAAAGGUAGCGCAAUCACUUGUCUCUUAAAUGGGGACCCGUAUGAAUGGCAUAACGAGGGCUUAGCUGUCUCCUUUUUCAAGUCAAUGAAAUUGAUCUCCCCGUGCAGAAGCGGGGAUACCUACAUAAGACGAGAAGACCCUAUGGAGCUUUAGACACCAAGACAGACCAUGUUAAACACCCCAAAUCAAAGGACCAAACUAAAUGGGGCCCUGUCCUAAUGUCUUCGGUUGGGGCGACCGCGGGGAAACACAAAACCCCCACGUGGAAAGGGAGCACAACCCUCCUACAGCCAAGAGCUUCCGCUCUACUAAACAGAACUUCUGACCUUAAGAUCCGGCAAAGCCGAUCAACGGACCAAGUUACCCUAGGGAUAACAGCGCAAUCCCCUUCUAGAGCCCGUAUCGACAAGGGGGUUUACGACCUCGAUGUUGGAUCAGGACAUCCUAAUGGUGCAGCCGCUAUUAAGGGUUCGUUUGU
RNAcentral lists this ribosomal RNA (517 nucleotides) under Diagramma pictum (painted sweetlips). RNAcentral describes it as "Diagramma picta (painted sweetlips) partial large subunit ribosomal RNA". It matches the Rfam family "Bacterial large subunit ribosomal RNA", at positions 1908 to 2580 of the family's 2925-position model. Lineage: Eukaryota; Metazoa; Chordata; Actinopteri; Lutjaniformes; Haemulidae. The record is from RNAcentral.